CAUUCAGUCAACUUCAGUUAACUCCAAUCACCUAAACAAUCCUGAUAUCAUCAUGGUUUCUUCAAAGAUCACCAUUCUCGCAAUCGUCCUGUUCGCCUGCAUCAUGCAUACUCAAGCUGCGUCAUCUGACGAAGACAAGGACACUGACGGCGGCUUUUCUCUUAGUAAUUCAGAAGCCAUCAAGAACUUCAACAAAAUCUUGUCAGAGAUCUCCAAGAAUCCAGCACAAACCUUUUCAAUCCUUACUAAUUCGAUUAGGGGAAAGGCAAAGGGUUCAUCGAAGAACAAGGGCUCCGACAAGGACGAUAACUAAUUCAAUUGUAUAUUUGUGUGAAUAAUUUUAUAAGGGUGUACUUUAUAAAUAUAAUAAAAAAUGAUGCAGCA
Long non-coding RNA from Pieris brassicae (large cabbage white), 384 nucleotides. RefSeq lists it as uncharacterized. Lineage: Eukaryota; Metazoa; Arthropoda; Insecta; Lepidoptera; Pieridae. The record is from RefSeq and is a predicted model, not a curated record. The transcript has 2 exons.